UGUUCGGAAGUACUCCGAUUAUUCCCAGCAGCAAUCUUCAUCACACUAAAAAGUUUAAAAAUGGGUUUAAGAACAGAAGUUCGAAAUCUUAGAUACUUCCAAGAAGGUCUUACGACCUUAAACAGAAUUGACAAGCUUUUACGACAUUUCGUCUUGGACGAGAAUGACAGCCAGGCCGUCGAUGAACUUCUGAAAAAAGCUGCUUCGAUCUUACUCAAAGACAACUGAAGCCCAGUCAAGCGCUUCAAAGCAGUGUUCUCGUUGUCGGGAGACCACCACAAGAAGUUCGAGCGACCACCAGAAACGACACAGGCGAACCAGUAGAAGAUAGAUCUACGUAGAUCGUCAUCUUAGAUUCAGAUGAAUGUUUCCCGCAGCUUUCUGAUGUUUUUUUGUUCUUUGAGUUGUCAGUUGUAUCUGACUUCUCUUCUUCUGUAAUCUUUUUUUAAGUCUUAAUACUAAUAUACAUUUCCAGC
Long non-coding RNA from Papaver somniferum (opium poppy), 476 nucleotides. RefSeq lists it as uncharacterized. The record is from RefSeq and is a predicted model, not a curated record. Lineage: Eukaryota; Viridiplantae; Streptophyta; Magnoliopsida; Ranunculales; Papaveraceae. The transcript is spliced from 3 exons.